AAUAAAUACAAAUAAAAUUUAUUAUUAAAAGUUAAAAUGUUGAUUUAAUUUAUAAUAAAAUUUAUUAGGUUAAAUUUUAAAUUUUAAAAAUAAUUAUUCUAAAAAAUAUUUUAAGCUUAGAAAUUUUUGUAAUAAACUAGGAUUAGAUACCCUAUUAUAAAAAAUGUAAUUUUAAAUAAUAGAGUAGUAAUAGUUAUUUUCUUAAAACUUAAUAAAUUUGGCGGUAUUUUAAUCUAAUCAGAGGAACUUGUUUUAUAAUUGAUAAUCCUCGUUAUAUCUUACUUAAUUUAUUAAUUUGUAUACCAUCGUCAUAAGAAUCUCUUAAAAAAGUAAAAAUUUUCUAAAAAAUUUAUUAGUUAAAAUGUCAGAUCAAGGUGCAGUUUAUAAUUAAGAAAAAAUGAGUUACAAUAAAAUUAUUUAUAUGAAUAUUAAGUUUAAAUACUUAAUUGAAGGUGGAUUUGACAGUAAAAAAAAAUAAUAAAUUUUUUUGAUUAUAGUUCUAAAAUAUGCACAUAUCGCCCGUCGCUCUCGUUAUUUAAAAUGAG
Molecule: ribosomal RNA, 545 nt
Filed under: Brachypeza armata
Lineage: Eukaryota; Metazoa; Arthropoda; Insecta; Diptera; Mycetophilidae
Description: partial 12S ribosomal RNA
Source: RNAcentral